GGACGAUUAACUCAAUUGGAAGAGUGCAUCCUUGACGUGGAUGAAGUUAGGGGUUCGAGUCCCUUAUCGUCCA
This 73-nucleotide transfer RNA is filed under the name Clostridia bacterium. RNAcentral's name for it is "tRNA-Val". It matches the Rfam family "tRNA". From Rfam's summary of the family: Transfer RNA (tRNA) molecules are approximately 80 nucleotides in length. Their secondary structure includes four short double-helical elements and three loops (D, anti-codon, and T loops). Further hydrogen bonds mediate the characteristic L-shaped molecular structure. tRNAs have two regions of fundamental functional importance: the anti-codon, which is responsible for specific mRNA codon recognition, and the 3' end, to which the tRNAs corresponding amino acid is attached (by aminoacyl-tRNA synthetases). tRNAs cope with the degeneracy of the genetic code in two manners: having more than one tRNA (with a specific anti-codon) for a particular amino acid; and 'wobble' base-pairing, i.e. permitting non-standard base-pairing at the 3rd anti-codon position. Lineage: Bacteria; Bacillati; Bacillota; Clostridia. The record is from RNAcentral.